This is an RNA transcript of Fragaria vesca subsp. vesca, 426 nucleotides long. It is a transcript of the gene named cystinosin homolog, with no coding region annotated. Lineage: Eukaryota; Viridiplantae; Streptophyta; Magnoliopsida; Rosales; Rosaceae. The record is from RefSeq and is a predicted model, not a curated record. The transcript is spliced from 4 exons.
GCCGGUCCAAACCGCCUCCGGAAUUGCCGUGGGUUUAGGGUACGAGACUGUGGCCGACAAGGAGGAGCCGCCGUUCCCGCUGGGGCUCCGGUAGUACGAGACUGUGGCGGUUCUCAGACCCGAUAUGUCUGAAGAUGAAAGACUCGCUCUUACUCAGAAGAAUGAGGAGAUGAUACCUGUGGCAGCAAACGAUGUGGCAUUAUCUUCUCAUGGUGUUUUAUUGACUGCACAGACCCUGAUUCAAAUUGCAAUCUAUGAACGUGGAAAUCAGAAGGUGUCAAAGAUUUCCAUUGGAAUCAUUGUUGCUGUGUGGCUAAGUGCUGCAGUUUUCUUUUCAUAGCUUUGUCAAACCACUCUUGGCUUUGGCUCAUUUCCAUUUUCAAAUUUGAAGGAAAUCUUUUUGGACUUAUGUUUGGGCUUCCAUAG